Long non-coding RNA from Gallus gallus (chicken), 1710 nucleotides. NCBI's taxonomy places the organism in Eukaryota, Metazoa, Chordata, Aves, Galliformes, Phasianidae. The record is from Ensembl.
GUUUCUUAGAGUUAUCUCAGGAAAAGAGCCAGCAGGUUUGGGGUCCUGCAAAAUCAAGAAACAAGCAAAGAUGAUUUGAACAAACAACCAAGGAGAUUAAAAUCAGACUACCAUGGCUAUUAUCAACAUGGCUAUUAUCCCUCUGUGGCAGAUGUCACUGCAGUUUUUAGCUCAAAGCAUGAAUGUGAGUCCAUUCCAGUUCUUCGUUGCUGUAAGAUGUGCAGCUGAAAAUGGAACUUCAGGAGCUAACUGGUAAGGUAAGAGGGUCACAGCAUCUUUUGAAUGGGCACAGGCAGCUUCCUCCUCUGGCCAGCUGUCUUCACACCAGUCACAUCUGAGCUGUGAAACCAUCAGGUUUUCAAACAGCGACACUUCUAAGGAUUUAUUUUUUCACAGUAGAUAGCACAUAGUGGGAAUAAAUAUUUCUAAAACUUUUCCUAGUUUUUUGUUUUGUUUUGUUUUUCUCCAAAGCUCACAGGCUUGAUGUUUUUCUUCAUCUCCCUCUGACAUAUCACUCUAUGCCAUCCCCACAACUACCUGGGAAGUGCACGCUGCACGCAGAAUAGCAAUCAAAGCCAUAUUCUUUAGUCUGCUUCUGUGUAAUCCUGACUCAAGCUUCCCAUCUCAAUUUUUAAAAUGUUAUUAAAGUGUAAAUUACAGAAGAUAACACUACUUCCAAGGACAGAGAAUAUUAAAAUAAGUUCGCAGUGCUAAGAGAGAAAUAUCAGUCACUGGCAAGAAGCAGCCUAGGAUCUGAACAAAUUCCAUGCCGUUUGGAGAAACAAGUAAAUGAAACAGAAUUAAUCAGCAGAUGUAAAAGAGAGAGUGAGAUGCCGAUACAAUAUGGAAAAGAUGUACAUGAGGGCAUGAAACAAUCAGCAUGUGCAUCAAAUCAUCAGCUGGAUACUGUACAGAUGGAAAGAACUCUGAAGAAAUGCUACAAGAUACUUGAAGAGGGUUCAAGCUGGACAUGAAUUAAAGGGAAAUUAAAGCAAUCUGUGCCUCUCUCUCUUGCUCGCAUGUACAUGCACACAACACACACAGCCUACCUUCAAUAAGUCCUUCCCCAUCCCGGUUUUCUGACCCUUGCUCUUCCUCUGCCAAGUCAGGGCUGACCUUUGCAGCAGGCCUGGAAGGCUGGGCUGUAGUGGCAAAAGGGUGGCACAAAGAACAGACGAGGUUUUUUCACAGAUUCCUCACAACUCCCAUGAACCAGACUCAGGAGGGAAAGAUGUAGAAACAGUCAGGCACAGCAAAUAGAAUUAGGAAAUAUUUUGAAAAUAGACUUGCAAGCCAGGACAUGCAAUAGCCAAAUCCACUUUGCGUCUCAAUGUGACACAAGUUCAAAGGUUUGAAUUACUCAAGAACAUCCUGUGUUUAGCCAACACCGCUAAUCUGGUGCAUCUAUCGUCUGGCCAAUGUUUCUUCCUUUCCUUUCUCAGCGUACCCAGCACAGAGAAGUGCUAUGUUACAGACACUCAUAAACAGUCUGAAUGUGAGCAAAACAUCAGCACAGCUUUGGAAAGCAGGCCAUAUAUUCACAGUCAUGAUGGGUUUAAAUUUUGUUUUGUUGUUCUUCCUGCUGUUUGCCAGCAAUAAAUGGCAAUUGUACUUUCCGACCAUGUUCAGCUGGGCUCUACGCCAUUUUCUGCUGUUUUUGAUGGCAGAGUUCUCCAAGACAUAUAUUAGAAUAUCUGGCCUAUGCAAUAA